AGGCGGAGACUUUGGCAAAUGCC
RNAcentral lists this microRNA (23 nucleotides) under Ornithorhynchus anatinus (platypus). RNAcentral's name for it is "Oan-Mir-92-P2d_5p* (star (passenger))". The record is from RNAcentral. Lineage: Eukaryota; Metazoa; Chordata; Mammalia; Monotremata; Ornithorhynchidae.